GACAGAGGGGGCAAGCGUUGCUCGGAAUUACUGGGCGUAAAGGGCGCGUAGGCGGGAUGGCAAGUCGGUCGUGAAAUCCCUCGGCUCAACUGAGGAUCGUCGAUCGAUACUGCCGUUCUUGAGGAUUGCAGAGGAGACUGGAAUUCCCGGUGUAGCGGUGAAAUGUGUAGAGAUGUGGAGGAACACCGAUGGCGAAGGCAGCCCCCUGGGCUAACACUGACGCUCAUGCACGAAAGCGUGGGGAGCAAACAGG
RNAcentral lists this ribosomal RNA (253 nucleotides) under uncultured bacterium. Its description in RNAcentral is "partial 16S ribosomal RNA". It matches the Rfam family "Bacterial small subunit ribosomal RNA", at positions 524 to 776 of the family's 1533-position model. The record is from RNAcentral.